AUAACGACUCUCGGCAACGGAUAUCUCGGCUCUCGCAUCGAUGAAGAACGUAGCGAAAUGCGAUACUUGGUGUGAAUUGCAGAAUCCCGCGAAUCAUCGAGUCUUUGAACGCAAGUUGCGCCCUAGGCCAUCCGGCUGAGGGCACGUCUGCCUGGGUGUCACGU
RNAcentral lists this ribosomal RNA (164 nucleotides) under Vasconcellea weberbaueri. RNAcentral's name for it is "5.8S ribosomal RNA". It matches the Rfam family "5.8S ribosomal RNA". From Rfam's summary of the family: 5.8S ribosomal RNA (5.8S rRNA) is a component of the large subunit of the eukaryotic ribosome. It is transcribed by RNA polymerase I as part of the 45S precursor that also contains 18S and 28S rRNA. Lineage: Eukaryota; Viridiplantae; Streptophyta; Magnoliopsida; Brassicales; Caricaceae. The record is from RNAcentral.